AUGACACCCGUUACACGACCACCGAACACUGACAUUCAGCUAGUGUCGGAGCUCAUUGAUUCUCAAACUUGGUCGUGGAGGCAGGAUUUGGUCAGAGAAAAUUUCACUGCUUCUGAUGCUGCGGCCAUUCUAAACAUCCCUAUCAGGUCGGGCGGUGGCAAUGAUUUCCUUGCUUGGGCAUUUGAAAAAUCAGGCAACUACACUGUCAAAACAGCGUACCGUUCUCUUGUGACUCAGAACGAGCUUUUGGCUCCAGAGGAAGGGACGGCUACCGGAACCUCAUCGAGUGAUCAACAGUUGUGGAAAGCCCUGUGGAAGUUGAAUGUAAUUCCAAAAGUCAGAGUGUUUUGGUGGAGAGUUCUUCGAGGGAUUCUUCCAGAUGAAGCAACACUCAAUCAUCGACACAUUGCGGAUGCUCGUCAGUGCAAAGUUUGUCUUGCGGCAGACGAGGAUCUGCAGCAUGCACUAUUGUAUUGCCCGCAUGCUCAAAGGUUCUGGGAAGAGGCCUGUGCGAGGUUUGGGCUGCGGCUACCGCAUCUUAACACACAGUCAUGGGCAUGA
RNAcentral lists this ribosomal RNA (561 nucleotides) under Triticum aestivum (bread wheat). RNAcentral describes it as "partial small subunit ribosomal RNA". Lineage: Eukaryota; Viridiplantae; Streptophyta; Magnoliopsida; Poales; Poaceae. The record is from RNAcentral.